RNAcentral lists this transfer RNA (76 nucleotides) under archaeon. RNAcentral's name for it is "tRNA-Val". It matches the Rfam family "tRNA". From Rfam's summary of the family: Transfer RNA (tRNA) molecules are approximately 80 nucleotides in length. Their secondary structure includes four short double-helical elements and three loops (D, anti-codon, and T loops). The record is from RNAcentral.
GGGCCCAUGGUCUAGUGGUUAUGACGUCGCCCUUACAAGGCGGAUGUCGUAGGUUCAAAUCCUACUGGGCCCACCA